UACGUAGGGGGCAAGCGUUAUCCGGAUUUACUGGGUGUAAAGGGAGCGUAGACGGAAUUGCAAGUCUGAUGUGAAAAUCCGGGGCCCAACCCCGGAACUGCAUUGGAAACUGUAUUUCUAGAGUGUCGGAGAGGCAAGUGGAAUUCCUGGUGUAGCGGUGAAAUGCUUAGAUAUAACUUAGAACUCCGAUAGCGAAGGCAGCUUACCAGACUGCGACUGACGCUGAAGCACGAGAGCGUGGGUAGCGAACAGG
Molecule: ribosomal RNA, 253 nt
Filed under: uncultured Eubacteriales bacterium
Lineage: Bacteria; Bacillati; Bacillota; Clostridia; Eubacteriales
Description: uncultured Clostridiales bacterium partial 16S ribosomal RNA
Rfam family: Bacterial small subunit ribosomal RNA
Source: RNAcentral